CAACAACAUCCUGAUACUGACGAGGCAGAGAAGAGUCUCUCCAGAUCAGAACACCAGAUGGACAACGCUAGCCCUUCCACCCUCCCGGAGUCCCCAUGUCGUGCCUCUCCUGGUAGCACCUUACUGCUGGGUAUGAAGAGGUUGUCUGUGCUGCUGGUGGACUACAGGAAAACAACAGGGCUGAGUGGAACUGUGAGAGGAGGAGAAGAGAUGAAAGGAUCAGAUUUGACUCAUCAAAAAGAGAGACCCGACUCAGAGGAACCAGAGACGUCUGAACCAGCGAGACGACACCACUGUUCCCAGUGUGGAAAGAGUUAUACCCGUUUAUGGAGCCUGAAAAACCACAAGAGAACACAUGCAGGGAAGAAGCCUUAUCACUGCUCUCAGUGUGGAAAGAG
Molecule: non-coding RNA, 398 nt
Organism: Oncorhynchus mykiss (rainbow trout)
Lineage: Eukaryota; Metazoa; Chordata; Actinopteri; Salmoniformes; Salmonidae
Source: RefSeq, a predicted model, not a curated record